AAAAACAUGGCUCUUUGAUUAUAUAAAUAUAAAGAGUCGGACCUGCCCGGUGAAAAUUUUUAACGGCCGCGGUACUCUGACCGUGCAAAGGUAGCAUAAUCAUUUGCCUUAUAAUUGAAGGCUAGUAUGAACGGUUUGACGAGAACAACACUGUCUCCUUUUUAUUUUCAAGAAUUUAACUUUUAGGUGAAGAGGCCUAAAUUUCAUUGAAGGACAAGAAGACCCUGUCGAGCUUAAAAGACACUGUAGAAUCUUAUAUGUUUUCAAAUAAAUUUUCUAUUAAGCUUUUUAGUUGGGGCGACUAAGGAACAAAAAAAGCUUCUUAAAAAUAACAGACAGUCAUGUUUAGAUCCAAUAAAAUUGAUCAAAGAAAUUAGUUACCGCAGGGAUAACAGCAUAAUCUCUCUUGAGAGACCUAAUCGAAAGAGGGGGUUGUGACCUCGAUGUUGGACUAGAAUAUCCUAAAGAUGCAGAAGUCUUUUGAAGGUCGGUCUGUUCGACCGUUAAAAUUCUACGUGAUCUGA
RNAcentral lists this ribosomal RNA (524 nucleotides) under Semisulcospira decipiens. RNAcentral describes it as "partial 16S ribosomal RNA". It matches the Rfam family "Bacterial large subunit ribosomal RNA", at positions 1809 to 2608 of the family's 2925-position model. Lineage: Eukaryota; Metazoa; Mollusca; Gastropoda; Semisulcospiridae. The record is from RNAcentral.